GACGAACGCUGGCGGCGUGCUUAACACAUGCAAGUCGAACGGAAAGGCCCUGCUUUUGUGGGAUGCUCGAGUGGCGAACGCGUGAGUAACACGUGAGUAACCUGCCCUUUACUUUGGGAUAACUUCUGGAAACUGGGGCUAAUACCGGAUAGGAGCUCCUGCUGCAUGGUGGGUGUUGGAAAGUUUCGGCGGUUGGGGAUGGACUCGCGGCUUAUCAGCUUGUUGGUGGGGUAGUGGCUUACCAAGGCUUUGACGGGUAGCCGGCCUGAGAGGGUGACCGGCCACAUUGGGACUGAGAUACGGCCCAGACUCCUACGGGAGGCAGCAGUGGGAAAUAUUGCACAAUGGGCGGAAGCCUGAUGCAGCAACGCCGCGUGCGGGAUGACGGCCUUCGGGGUGUAAACCGCUUUCGCCUGUGACGAAGCGUGAGUGACGGUAAUGGGUAAAGAAGCACCGGCUAACUACGUG
This 468-nucleotide ribosomal RNA is filed under the name uncultured bacterium. RNAcentral describes it as "partial 16S ribosomal RNA". It matches the Rfam family "Bacterial small subunit ribosomal RNA", at positions 28 to 507 of the family's 1533-position model. The record is from RNAcentral.